RNAcentral lists this transfer RNA (65 nucleotides) under Typhlodessus monteithi. Its description in RNAcentral is "tRNA-Tyr". The record is from RNAcentral. Lineage: Eukaryota; Metazoa; Arthropoda; Insecta; Coleoptera; Dytiscidae.
GGUAAAAUGGCUGAAUUAUAGGUAAUAAAUUGUAAAUUUAUUUAUGAAAUUUUUUUCUUUUUCCA